CAGCUCUCUUCGAAUUCAUCGAACCUCCCAAUGCAAAUUCUGCUGUAAUUUUACGAUAAAGCAACAAAGAAGAACAUUCAUCGAAGAGGAUACAGUGCUUAGCAUAAAAGGCUUUCAAAAUGCAAGCUUCAACUUUCACAGUCAAAGGCAACACAGCAUUUGGCCUUCAAAAUCGAAGGAUUUUGCAAGGGGUUAGUGAUUUGCGUAGUAGGACUUUAGCUGGUAAAAGUCUUCGGAUGACGGGCAGUUGCUUCGGAGUAAGUAUGGAUUCUGCUUCAAUGGGAAUCGAACUUGGCCGUGCUAGGAGGACUGUUCAAAGUGUCUUCGGUUCGUCCGCAAAGGCCAGAUCACACAGAGUUCGAGCUGCUGGAGAGGAUAUUGAGGAUGCAGCACCUCUCAAAGUUCAAGGCCAAUCAUCUGGAUCAGUACUUCCCUAUGUGGGUGUAGCUUGUCUGGCAGCAAUUUUAUUUGGAUAUCACCUAGGGGUGGUGAAUGGUGCCCUUGAGUACCUAGCUAAGGAUCUUGGGAUUGCCGAGAACACUGUUAUACAAGGAUGGAUUGUUAGCACAGUUCUUGCUGGUGCCUUUGUUGGUUCAUUUACUGGUGGAGCUCUGGCUGAUAAAUUUGGCCGAACAAAGACAUUUAUAUUGGAUGCAAUUCCACUUUCAGUUGGUGCGUUUCUAUGUACCACUGCCCAGAGUGUUCAGGCUAUGAUCAUUGGACGCUUACUUACUGGAAUUGGCAUUGGCAUCUCAUCUGCUAUUGUGCCACUUUACAUAUCUGAGAUCUCACCCACGGAAAUUCGCGGCACACUGGGAACGGUCAAUCAGCUAUUCAUUUGCAUUGGAAUUCUUGUUGCACUAGUGGCUGGAUUGCCUUUGUCUGGAAAUCCUUCAUGGUGGAGAACAAUGUUUGGUCUCGCACUUAUUCCAUCUGUUUUACUUGCAAUAGGAAUGGUAUUUUCUCCCGAAAGUCCUCGGUGGCUCUAUCAGCAAGGGAGAAUAUCUGAAGCUGAGACAUCUAUUAAAAGGCUAUAUGGUAAAGAAAAAGUUGCUGAGGUUAUGGGUGAUUUGGAAGCUUCUGCCCAGGGUUCUUCAGAACCAGAUGCUGGGUGGCUUGAUCUAUUUAGUAGCCGUUAUAGGAAAGUUGUUAGCAUUGGUGCAGCUAUGUUCUUUUUGCAGCAGUUGGCUGGGAUAAAUGCAGUUGUCUAUUAUUCCACUGCCGUGUUCCGAAGUGCUGGAAUUACAUCUGAUGUAGCAGCCAGUGCUCUGGUUGGAGCAGCCAACGUCUUUGGGACAACGGUGGCAUCCUCUUUGAUGGACAAACAAGGAAGGAAGAGUCUCUUGCUCAUAAGCUAUACUGGAAUGGCUGCAUCAAUGAUGUUGCUUUCCUUGUCAUUCACUUGGAAGGUCCUGACUCCAUAUUCUGGCACACUGGCUGUUCUUGGUACUGUCCUCUAUGUGUUGUCCUUUUCACUUGGUGCUGGUCCUGUGCCUGCUCUUCUUCUUCCAGAGAUAUUUGCCUCCAGAAUCAGAGCAAAAGCAGUUGCUUUAUCCUUGGGCAUGCAUUGGAUAUCAAAUUUUUUCAUUGGUCUCUAUUUCUUGAGCGUUGUAAACAAGUUUGGGAUCAGCACCGUGUAUUUGGGAUUUGCAGCCAUUUGUCUUCUUGCUGUCUUGUACAUAGCAGGUAAUGUUGUGGAAACAAAGGGAAGAUCCUUGGAGGAAAUAGAGCGUGCUCUUAACCCUGCAAUUUGAUUUGGAAAUUUGUCGAAAGUGCCUGUGGUAAUAAUUUCGUUGCGGCUCAUGAUUGACCUUAAGAUGGGUGGUGCCUUUUUUCCUUUUUUGAAAGGUUUCUUUGUUCUACCGAGAGUAAUGGCAUUAGGGGCAUGUUUCUUGUCCUCCAUUUUUCUGUCCACCUUACAAAUGUUAAAUCAGCUGUAACCAGCUUUGAGAGAACUACCUUUGCUAUGUAUUUUUGGAAUUAGAACUGGGGCAACACUAAUUUGGGUCGCUGGUGCUGAAUGAUAUAUUUCCCGAAGAUUUUGCUAUAUGAUUCUUGCAACAUAUUUUACAUGACAUCUUAUCCGACAUCUGAAUUAUGGAAAUAUAUAUGUAAAUAUUUUCGAGGUAAGUUGUUCAGCUUGAAGAGAUGACUAUUGAUCAAGAUGUACCAUAGGUGCAGUUGCAGCUGGGCAUCCCACUGCUGACUGCUGAAAAAUAAACUUCAAAGAUCAGGUACCAUCUCAGGAAAUGGAAAUUUG
RNAcentral lists this unclassified non-coding RNA (2260 nucleotides) under Hevea brasiliensis (rubber tree). Lineage: Eukaryota; Viridiplantae; Streptophyta; Magnoliopsida; Malpighiales; Euphorbiaceae. The record is from RNAcentral.